AAAAAUUUAGUUAAACUAUAACAUUAGCUUGUCAAGCUAAAAUUAUUAAAUAUAAUAAUUUUUA
This 64-nucleotide transfer RNA is filed under the name Trigonopterus sp. 2 AH-2016. Its description in RNAcentral is "tRNA-Asp". Lineage: Eukaryota; Metazoa; Arthropoda; Insecta; Coleoptera; Curculionidae. The record is from RNAcentral.